AUCUGACCCGAGAGAAAAAGAAAUAGGAAGGAGAUGAUUUUUCAUACAAAAAUUAUGAUCUAUGAAGAUCCAACCGUCCAAACUCAAAUCCGACUUCGGUAACGUGAUCUACGAAGCCCGAUCUACGUUUCUACCGAUCGUUUUGAGGCUUUGUGUUAUUUGGAGCUUGCAAAGAUUCCCAAACACCGGGUAUUAUUUGGGUAAAUUUUUAGUAAUGCAUUGCAUGGUGGUGUCUAGGAGACCUAGUGCUUAAUAUCCGCGCAGCCAGGUGAGUAUUCUACUCACUGAGAAGUAUUAUUUUCAUAAAUGAUUAAUUGCAAAAUAUAUAUUGUUUUACAAAUCUGAACCAACUGUAUGUUGAUUAUGAAUUGUUUUGGAUGAUUUGAGUACUUUGGAGUAUAUUGAAAUAUUGAUGAUGUUUUGAACUAUGAAUAUGAUUGGUGAGUUUAGAGUGAGUAUAAAGAUUUAAGUUAUGCAAAUUGUUAAAAAAAGACAUGUUGAAUUGAUUAUGUUUUGUAAAGAAAGCAUGUGUUAAAGUCAUGAUUAUGAAAUUAAAUGUAUAGUAUUUGAGCACGAGCAUUGAGCAUGGCACGAACAAGACCGAGGUUCAAUUCCCUUAGGCAUACGAACAAGACCGGGGUUCAAUUCCCUUAGGCAUACGACAAGACCGGGGUUCAAUUCCCUUAGGCAUACGACAAGACCGGGGUUCAAUUCCCUUAGGCAUACGAAUAAGACCGGGGUUCAAUUCCCUUAGGCAAACGUACGACACGCAUGCACAGCAUUUGUUUCAUGAUAAUUGAAUUGUUUUCAUGUUUUUGAUAUAUAGUAGUUUUAUGCUAGACGUAUUAAUAUGCAUAAGAAUCUCAAUGGAAAAGAGCUUAUGUAUGUUUCUAUCGGAUGACCACACGUUUUAUAUAUAUGGUAGUUUUGCUAGACGUAUUAGUAUGCAUAAGAGUCUCAAUGGAAAAGAACUUAUGUAUAUUUAUAUCGGAUGGUUGCAUGUUUUAAAUGCCAUUGUUUUCUAAGUCUUACUAGAUCAAAGGUAAUAUAGUAGGUGAGGAUGUAUGUAGUUGUAUCCAACAAUGGAAAUUCUACGUAUAAACUCAGCUGCGUAGUAUGGUUUAAAUGUUUUCUAUUAGUCAGUGUCUACUAUAUCAGCUAUGGGGGUUUUCAAACAAAAGUUUAUAAAAUUGGUGGCUGUUAUAGUAUACGCAUGACUAGAAAAGAAAGGUUGGUUCUUUGCGAAAACUUAGUGAAUAGUAUACCUCUGAGGUCUUAGUGUAUUUAUUUAUGCUAAGGCGGUGGGCUCAUAAUUCCACCUGUACGGAUGCGGCAACCCCCGCAACCGUGCAUACAUUGAUGCUUUGGUUGCAGGUUUUGCGGAUAUAGAUAUUGACUCGUCCACCUAGCGUAUGGGAUACUAUGAUUGGAGCACAUCGCGACAGUCAUAAGUCACGGACUCAUGGGUAGUCCGCAUUUUGGGUAUUUUAUCUAUGGCUCGUGUCCUACGUGGCACAUGUAUUAUUGAGCGUAUAUUUUAGAAUGUAAUUAGUGUAAUAUGUUAUAUAAGCCUUAAAUAGAUAGACUUGUAAAUGGCUCUGGUUGUAAUUAACUGUUGUAUAAUAGAUGUAUUUCCGCUUAUGAUAUGUGUUCUGCUACACAUUGAUUACUAUAUUCCGCUGUUAAAUGUAACUCUGAUUAUUAGAUGCAUGUUAUGGGACAUGUGCCAUAUGUUGGCUGAGCGACAUGUAGUCGUGCCACUGUGAA
Long non-coding RNA from Alnus glutinosa, 1767 nucleotides. RefSeq lists it as uncharacterized. Lineage: Eukaryota; Viridiplantae; Streptophyta; Magnoliopsida; Fagales; Betulaceae. The record is from RefSeq and is a predicted model, not a curated record. The transcript has 3 exons.